UAUUCUCCAGUCACCACUAUAUUUCUCCACUAAAUGCUAAUGUGUCCAAUGGCCAACUCCAAGGUACGAAGUGGAGAGGAAAUGAUGGUUUGGUUUUGAAUUUCUGAGACAAGACAAGAGUUCUUCCAUUCGAGAAUUUCUGUUUGUUAGUUCACUUUUCACUACGGUUUAAACUUUAAAGCUUUAAAGUGGAUGACAUAUCGCACAGUGCGCUCCAGUAAUCCAGUGAGAUAGUUAGUUGUAGUGUAUAGGUUUGUUUUAAUUAUUGAGUUUCUAUCUGUUGUUUUUCCUGUUUCCUGUGUUCUUCAUUUUUGUCUUCGUUCCUCUUCGUUACUGUGUCUGCUCCUGAGUCUUCAGUGUCAGUGCAGCGAAGAAGCGAGACCAAACAGCAGUAAAAUAACAAGAGCUUGCAUAGAUGAGGAAAUAUCAUCAGAUAAUCUUUACUUCCAUUGAGAGAGAUGGUCAAUUUCCAGUCAGAAUGGGAGGAGAAAAUCGUUUAUAAAGCAUAUGAGGACAGUGGGGAGCGCUAAUAUUGGCCAAUGUGUCAAUAAUAUCUUGAGAAGAUUAAUGAUUGAUGAGCUGGCCAUGAAAUUCUCAUAUACUGGCCGUGCAUCAAACGGGAACACAAAAACUCCAUUUCAUGGGAGUGAGAUAUCGAAAUGCAUACUGAGUAAGUAGGCUACCGUAUUCCUUUAUAGUCGAAUAUAUGCCAUUUUUGGUUAUGUAAAUAUGGAUGUUACUUAUUUUUAUUGUAUGUUAAUUUAUAUGUUAGCAAGGUUAGCGUUUUAGGCCAUAUUUACACUGCACUGUAGUAGAUGUAUUUUCAAACCAUAUUUGUGCCGUAUUUGUUUUUCAAACCAUA
Long non-coding RNA from Nilaparvata lugens (brown planthopper), 862 nucleotides. RefSeq lists it as uncharacterized. NCBI's taxonomy places the organism in Eukaryota, Metazoa, Arthropoda, Insecta, Hemiptera, Delphacidae. The record is from RefSeq and is a predicted model, not a curated record. The transcript has 3 exons.